Molecule: ribosomal RNA, 440 nt
Filed under: uncultured bacterium
Lineage: Bacteria
Description: partial 16S ribosomal RNA
Rfam family: Bacterial small subunit ribosomal RNA
Source: RNAcentral
CCUACGGGUGGCAGCAGUGGGGGAUAUUGCACAAUGGGGGAAACCCUGAUGCAGCGACGCCGCGUGUGGGAAGACGGUCCUCUGGAUUGUAAACCACUGUCCUCAGGGACGAAGAUGACGGUACCUGGGGAGGAAGCUUCGGCUAACUACGUGCCAGCAGCCGCGGUAAUCCGUAGGGAGCAAGGGUUGUCCGGAAUUCCUGGGUGUAAAGGGAGCGGAGGCGGGAUGGAAAGUUGGGUGUUAAAUCUACCGGCUAAACUGGUAGUCGCACUCAAAACCGGUAUUUUUGAGUGAAGUAGAGGCAGGCGGAAUUCCUAGUGUAGCGGUGAAAUGCGUAGAUAUUAGGAGGAACACCAGUGGCGAAGGCAGCCUGCUGGGCUGUAACUGACGCUGAGGCUCGAAAGUGUGGGGAGCAAACAGGAUUAGAUACCCUAGUAGUC